UCUUCGGCAAUGGACGAAAGGCUGACGGAGCAACGCCGCGUGAGUGAUGAAGGUUUUCGGAUCGUAAAACUCUGUUGUUAAGGAAGAACAAGUACCGUUCGAAUAGGACGGUACCUUGACGGUACCUAACCAGAAAGCCACGGCUAACUACGUGCCAGCCGCCGCGGUGAUACGUAGGUGGCAAGCGUUGUCCGGAAUUAUUGGGCGUAAAGCGCGCGCAGGCGGUUUCUUAAGUCUGAUGUGAAAGCCCCCGGCUCAACCGGGGAGGGUCAUUGGAAACUGGGGAACUUGAGUACAGAAGAGGAGAGUGGAAUUCCACGUGUAGCGGUGAAAUGCGUAGAGAUGUGGAGGAACACCAGUGGCGAAGGCGACUCUCUGGUCUGUAUCUGACGCUGAGGCGCGAAAGCGUGGGGAGCGAACAG
This 422-nucleotide ribosomal RNA is filed under the name uncultured bacterium. RNAcentral describes it as "bacterial SSU rRNA". It matches the Rfam family "Bacterial small subunit ribosomal RNA", at positions 362 to 775 of the family's 1533-position model. The record is from RNAcentral.